CUUAUUAAAAAUUAGUAAAAUUAAUUAUUAUAAUCAAUAUUUUACCACAAACAAAUCGCACAUAAAAAAUAUAUGGAAAGGAAUUAAACAAAUAAUAACUCUCAAAACAAAAAACAGAGGUUUACCCUCAAAGAUACUUAUUAAUGGUGAUGAAAUAACUGAUAGUAAAUCAAUUGCUGACAGGUUUAAUGAUUUUUUUGCUAAUAUUGGAAAUGCAUUAACUAGAAAUGUCCCCUGUAUUGAUACAAGUCCAGUGUCAUUUAUGACUUCUCGCCAAGUAAAUAGUCUGUUCUUGAAUCCAACUUCCUCUAACGAAAUUGAAGAAAUAAUUGUCCAGUUUAAUUCCUCAAAAGCUACGGGCCCGUAUAGCAUACCAGUUAAAAUUCUGAAAUUGCUAAGGAGAUUUAUUUCAAAGCCUUUGGAAUCUAUUUUUAAUUGUUGUCUUUCAACUGGUACUGUACCUAGCCAAUUCAAACUGGCUAGUGUCAUUCCUGUACAUAAAAAAGGCUCACAAUUAAUCUUAGACAAUUAUCGCCCUAUAUCUUUAUUAUCUAUUUUUAACCAGAUUCUUGAAGAAAUUGUGUCUAAACG
Molecule: non-coding RNA, 591 nt
Organism: Paramuricea clavata
Lineage: Eukaryota; Metazoa; Cnidaria; Anthozoa; Malacalcyonacea; Plexauridae
Source: the annotation of a GenBank genome assembly